AACUCUUUUUUUCUACAAGUUUUGCAUAUAUGUUCCUAAAAGUAAGGACUCCAAAGAAACUUAUAUGAAUAUUACGUUUGUGUACAUAUAUAUAGUAUUGUUUUCCCCAACAACAGAAAAUAUAGUAUUAUAUCACAGAUCAGUGAUACAUCUGCAGGCUAUUCCUUAAUUUGAAGGCAUGAUAAAUAAAAUUUAUACUCGUUUGAGAAUAUGAAUAUCACAUCAUCUAAUACUGCCGUUGCUGAAUAUUUCUACUCCGGUUAUCGAUGCCCUGUGUGCGGGCUUUGUGGGUAUGCACAAAGUGUAAAUGCACCAGGUCCUUAAUUUUUAUUAAAACUUCUUUAUUAUUUUAUGGCCUGAAUUUUAAAAUUACUAUAGAUAAAAAAAAGGUCUAAUUUUAAAGUGAUAAACAAACAUAGCAUGCAGAAAAAUGUUUUAUGGCACAGGGGCUCACCCAUCUUGAGCCGGGCCUAAGAUCAUAUGCUAAAAAUAGAGCUUCACGAUAGAAAAAUAUUGUUUUUCUUGGAUAAAAAUGUGAACUUCGUUACUAUUGUUAUGUAAGAUUGAUACAUUAUUACUUGUAUCCCAAUCUACUUAACCAAGCAAAAGGUAUCAAAAAGAUAAUUAGGUGUAAAAGGUAUUGAUUACGUAUUCCCUCGGCAAAAGACACUUCUGGCAAAAAAAAAAAAAAAAAAAAAAAAAAAAAAAUCAAAGCCAUCGGAUAGGGAGGACACAUUGUUUAACGAUCUAAAACAUCAGUAUAGAUACACAUAUUUUGACCAAAACCAAAAAAAUGUAACACAUGGAUCUCUAAAAUAAUAUUAUUUUAAUUAUUUUUUAUUUUGUAAUUUUUUUUAGAAAAGACAAACUACUAGUUUAGAACAAAUGUGACUUGGAUCUCUCCUAAAAUUUUGAAAGUCUAUAAAAAAGUGCUCUUGAAUCUCUCUCUCU
This 951-nucleotide long non-coding RNA is filed under the name Brassica rapa (field mustard). Its description in RNAcentral is "long non-coding RNA (BRAP_LNC001490)". Lineage: Eukaryota; Viridiplantae; Streptophyta; Magnoliopsida; Brassicales; Brassicaceae. The record is from RNAcentral.